RNAcentral lists this ribosomal RNA (550 nucleotides) under uncultured fungus. RNAcentral describes it as "eukaryotic LSU rRNA". The stretch from base 177 to 330 matches the Rfam family "5.8S ribosomal RNA". The record is from RNAcentral. Lineage: Eukaryota; Fungi.
CUUGGUCAUUUAGAGGAAGUAAAAGUCGUAACAAGGUUUCCGUAGGUGAACCUGCGGAAGGAUCAUUAGUGAACGCCCUCACGGGCUUAUAACUAUUCCAAACCUCUGUGAACCGUGCCCUUCGGGGCUAUUUUACAAACAUGGUGUAAUGAACGUCAUAUAUCAUAACAAAACAAAAUUUUCAACAACGGAUCUCUUGGCUCUCGCAUCGAUGAAGAACGCAGCGAAAUGCGAUAAGUAAUGUGAAUUGCAGAAUUCAGUGAAUCAUCGAAUCUUUGAACGCACCUUGCGCCCUCUGGUAUUCCGGAGGGCAUGCCUGUUUGAGUGUCAUGUAGACUCAAUCCCUCGGGUUUCCGAGGAGAUUGGACUUGGGUGUUGCCGCUCUGCCGGCUCGCCUUAAAAGACUAGCGGGAUAGCACCGUGUCGGCGUAAUAAGUUUGUCGGUGAAGGUUGUGAUGACUGCUUACAAUCGCCCUUGGGCAAUUUUUGACUCUGACCUCAAAUCAGGUAGGACUACCCGCUGAACUUAAGCAUAUCAAUAAGCGGAGGA